This 309-nucleotide ribosomal RNA is filed under the name uncultured bacterium. Its description in RNAcentral is "bacterial SSU rRNA". It matches the Rfam family "Bacterial small subunit ribosomal RNA", at positions 485 to 793 of the family's 1533-position model. The record is from RNAcentral.
AAGAAGCACCGGCUAACUCCGUGCCAGCAGCCGCGGUAAUACGGAGGGUGCGAGCGUUAAUCGGAAUUACUGGGCGUAAAGCGCAUGCAGGCGGCCUGUUAAGUCAGAUGUGAAAGCCCGGGGCUUAACCUCGGAAUUGCAUUUGAAACUGGCAGGCUAGAGUCUUGUAGAGGGGGUAGAAUUUCAGGUGUAGCGGUGAAAAUGCGUAGAGAUCUGAAGGAAUACCAGUGGCGAAGGCGGCCCCCUGGACAAAGACUGACGCUCAGAUGCGAAAGCGUGGGGAGCAAACAGGAUUAGAUACCCUGGUAG